RNAcentral lists this ribosomal RNA (576 nucleotides) under Curtobacterium sp. T5-18. RNAcentral describes it as "bacterial SSU rRNA". It matches the Rfam family "Bacterial small subunit ribosomal RNA", at positions 902 to 1478 of the family's 1533-position model. Lineage: Bacteria; Bacillati; Actinomycetota; Actinomycetes; Micrococcales; Microbacteriaceae. The record is from RNAcentral.
CAAAGGAAUUGACGGGGGCCCGCACAAGCGGCGGAGCUGCGGAUUAAUUCGAUGCAACGCGAAGAACCUUACCAAGGCUUGACAUACACCGGAAACGGCCAGAGAUGGUUGCCCCCUUGUGGUCGGUGUACAGGUGGUGCAUGGUUGUCGUCAGCUCGUGUCGUGAGAUGUUGGGUUAAGUCCCGCAACGAGCGCAACCCUCGUUCUAUGUUGCCAGCGCGUUAUGGCGGGGACUCAUAGGAGACUGCCGGGGUCAACUCGGAGGAAGGUGGGGAUGACGUCAAAUCAUCAUGCCCCUUAUGUCUUGGGCUUCACGCAUGCUACAAUGGCCGGUACAAAGGGCUGCGAUACCGUAAGGUGGAGCGAAUCCCAAAAAGCCGGUCUCAGUUCGGAUUGAGGUCUGCAACUCGACCUCAUGAAGUCGGAGUCGCUAGUAAUCGCAGAUCAGCAACGCUGCGGUGAAUACGUUCCCGGGCCUUGUACACACCGCCCGUCAAGUCAUGAAAGUCGGUAACACCCGAAGCCGGUGGCCUAACCCUUGUGGAAGGAGCCGUCGAAGGUGGGAUCGGUGAUUAG